UACGUAGGGGGCUAGCGUUGUCCGGAAUCAUUGGGCGUAAAGAGCUCGUAGGCGGUUGAGUAAGUCGGGUGUGAAAACUCUGGGCUUAACCCAGAGCCGCCACUCGAUACUGCUCUGACUUGAGUACGGUAGGGGAGCAGGGAAUUCCUAGUGUAGCGGUGAAAUGCGCAGAUAUUAGGAGGAACACCGGUGGCGAAGGCGCUGCUCUGGGCCGAAACUGACGCUGAGGAGCGAAAGCGUGGGUAGCAAACAGG
RNAcentral lists this ribosomal RNA (254 nucleotides) under uncultured bacterium. Its description in RNAcentral is "partial 16S ribosomal RNA". It matches the Rfam family "Bacterial small subunit ribosomal RNA", at positions 524 to 776 of the family's 1533-position model. The record is from RNAcentral.